Wyeomyia smithii (pitcher-plant mosquito) is the source of this 1238-nucleotide long non-coding RNA. RefSeq lists it as uncharacterized. The transcript is spliced from 3 exons. NCBI's taxonomy places the organism in Eukaryota, Metazoa, Arthropoda, Insecta, Diptera, Culicidae. The record is from RefSeq and is a predicted model, not a curated record.
UCAUGAAAAUGCUGCCAAAAACUUGUAGAGCGUUUUGCUGAAUUUAUCUGCUGUUGAGUUCUCGGCAAUAAAAUCUAAGUGUGUAUAGUUUUGCACACCACGUCUAUCGCCCUUCUUGUGCACGAGAAACAUAAUGGAAAAUUUCCAACUAGAGGAAAAUACGCAUUGCCGUUGAGAUAAAUUGAACAACAGACAUAACGGAUGAAUAAAACAGGCACAUCAUUUUAGAAAGCACUACGGAACUCCAUCGGGCCUGCAGUGAAGGAUGAUUUAAGUUUAUCUAUGGCAGCGAUAACGUGACGACUAGUUAUUUCUUUAAGCAGAUUGAAAUUGAAAACAUCUCUAGAAGGGCCAUUAAAAGCAGUAUCAAUCUGAGCAUUAGAAGUAGUAUGCUCAUGAAAAUUGCGCUGAAAGCUACGGGCAAAUAGAGUUUGUCUGUCAAACAGGGUCCUGCCCUGACAAACGCCAAGGAAUAUCCACCGCAGUCAGCAGUUCUUUUCAUAGAAAGACAUCGAAAAAUGGCUAGACUCGUUGAUAGCCCGAAAAGACGAUUCCGUAACGAUAUUCGAGCUCUCUUAGAAAGAUGGGAGAAAGUUGUUGCUAGUUAUGAGAGGCUUUGCUAGAAUACAUACUCAAUUUGUUGAGUCCAAUACGUUUGCAAAGUUCCAUUCAAACCAAAAAUUGUCGAUAUUGGAAGAUAGGCAAUUCGACAUCUAGAAAUAUUUUAUAUACACAAAACCCUUUCCUUCAGUUCAUAGACGGUGUGUCCAUAGAGUAAUAACGGUAAGGUCGUGCCAUCGUUGAAAACAAUGAAAGGAGAAAAAAAUAAUGCUGGCCAUGUCUUGGGCCCUGAAUCGUGGUGGCGAGUGCUUUUUGCUGAACUGUUUUGAAUCAAUAAAGUGAUCAACACAUAAUAGUAAAUGGCACUAUUUUUACAAUGCUUAACAGCUCUCACUUGGAAGGUAAAGGCGACAAAGCUACGACCAUCAGAUAAUCUCCAAAUGCGAAAGUUUCAUCUACCCCGGUGAAUGAGCACCGCGUGAAUUUCAAACAAACGCCAGAAAAGCUUACACUUGUUUGGCCCGGAAGAUGCGUCAUGCAGAACGGGCUCUACUUUCACUAAAAGCCGAAUGAUCUGAUAAGCAUCUUCCUCAGCCGUGAACAGUAUCUUUACGCAGCGGGGUCGAAUGCAUCAUGAUACCUGAAAACUUUCGUCUGUAAAAUGCUUCACCAUAAGA